RNAcentral lists this ribosomal RNA (468 nucleotides) under uncultured bacterium. Its description in RNAcentral is "partial 16S ribosomal RNA". It matches the Rfam family "Bacterial small subunit ribosomal RNA", at positions 28 to 507 of the family's 1533-position model. The record is from RNAcentral.
GACGAACGCUGGCGGCGUGCUUAACACAUGCAAGUCGAACGGAAAGGCCCUGCUUUUGUGGGGUGCUCGAGUGGCGAACGGGUGAGUAACACGUGAGUAACCUGCCCUUGACUUUGGGAUAACUUCAGGAAACUGGGGCUAAUACCGGAUAGGAGCUCCUGCUGCAUGGUGGGGGUUGGAAAGUUUCGGCGGUUGGGGAUGGACACGCGGCUUAUCAGCUUGUUGGUGGGGUAGUGGCUUACCAAGGCUUUGACGGGUAGCCGGCCUGAGAGGGUGACCGGCCACAUUGGGACUGAGAUACGGCCCAGCCUCCUACGGGAGGCAGCAGUGGGGAAUAUUGCACAGUGGGCGGAAGCCUGAUGCAGCAACGCCGCGUGCGGGAUGACGGCCUUCGGGUUGUAAACCGCUUUCGCCUGUGACGAAGCGUGAGUGACGGUAAUGGGUAAAGAAGCACCGGCUAACUACGUG